GUAGUCCACGCUGUAAACGAUGGGUACUAGGUCAGGUGGGUAUUGACCCCUGCCGGACCGGAGCUAACGCGAUAAGUACCCCGCCUGGGAAGUACGGUCGCAAGACUAAAACUCAAAGGAAUUGACGGGGGCCCGCACAAGCGGUGGAUCAUGUGGUUUAAUUCGAAGCAACGCGAAGAACCUUACCUGGGUUUGACAUCCCUCGACAGUAAUAGAAAUAUUAUCUCUGUAGCAAUACAGCGGGGAGACAGGUGCUGCAUGGCUGUCGUCAGCUCGUGUGGUGACAUGUUGGGUUAAGUCCCGCAACGAGCGCAACCCUUGUCCUUAGUUGCCAUCAUUAAGUUGGGCUCUCUAAGGAGACUGCCGUGGUUAACACGGA
This 379-nucleotide ribosomal RNA is filed under the name uncultured bacterium. Its description in RNAcentral is "bacterial SSU rRNA". It matches the Rfam family "Bacterial small subunit ribosomal RNA", at positions 790 to 1167 of the family's 1533-position model. The record is from RNAcentral.